Molecule: ribosomal RNA, 377 nt
Filed under: uncultured bacterium
Lineage: Bacteria
Description: bacterial SSU rRNA
Rfam family: Bacterial small subunit ribosomal RNA
Source: RNAcentral
GACGAACGCUGGCGGCGUGCUUAACACAUGCAAGUCGAGCGGUAAGGCCCUUUCGGGGGUACACGAGCGGCGAACGGGUGAGUAACACGUGGGUGACCUGCCCUCAGCUCUGGGAUAAGCCUGGGAAACCGGGUCUAAUACUGGAUAUGACUCCAUGACGCAUGUUGUGGGGUGGAAAGCCUUGUGCGGCUGAGGAUGGGCCCGCGGCCUAUCAGCUUGUUGGUGGGGUGANGGCCUACCAAGGCGACGACGGGUAGCCGGCCUGAGAGGGCGACCGGCCACACUGGGACUGAGACACGGCCCAGACUCCCGACGGGAGGCAGCAGUGGGGAAUCUUGCGCAAGUGGGCGAAAGCCUGACGCAGCGACGCCGCGUGA